This 4573-nucleotide long non-coding RNA is filed under the name Dasypus novemcinctus (nine-banded armadillo). RNAcentral describes it as "lncRNA (ENSDNOG00000050436.1)". Lineage: Eukaryota; Metazoa; Chordata; Mammalia; Cingulata; Dasypodidae. The record is from RNAcentral.
UGGUGACAUCCUGUUGCACAGAGAGUCCCCAAAAUAACACUUUCUGAAUUUCAGAACAACUUCAGGCUUCGCUCUCUAACUUUUGAUUUUGUUGUUUUGAACUGGUUUGGGGACAAGUAAUUUUCACGGGGAAUCCCUUUCUGUCAAGCAAAGGAAGGACUCAUUUUAAUAUUCUUAAAGCUCGAGGUAAAGAAGCUGAACAGUUCAGCGGGUCACCGUCAAACAGGAGACAAGCACAAGACUGAUGAUACUACAAACAUUUGGAAGAAGCCCAACAGGCAAGAUUAGGGCUGGCCAGGUCCUGAAAUAUGCUAUAUGUGUGUAUACAACCUGCAGGUUGGAAACUUCCUCAAGCACUGACCCUCUCCUAGAACCUCUCUCCAGCCAGGUUCCAGGCCCUCCACUCUGUAGAACUGCCCUUGCCAAGAUCACGAGCAACUCCAAAUCCCAGUUGACAGAGGAAGAGGUUUCAUCUUGCUUCUCUUGGAAACCCCCUCAGACACUGGCUUCCAGGUUAAGUACCACUGUGAUUUGCUCCUUCCUUCCUGGCCUUAUCUCCGUAUUCUUUUACACUUCUUUCCACACCACUCACAUCCUGGUUCUCAGGACCUCUGGGUGCUCAGAACUUGGCUCUCCACUUUUUCUCCUACAGUGCAGUAUUUCUCAUGUGGUUUAUUGUAAUCUGUUCUCAACUAGACUUUCUACAGUCAGACCUUGGUACCCUACAGAGAUGGUCUUCCUGUGUCUCCAGUCAUUAUAACCACACCAGCCCUGAUUUGGAGCCCCACAGCAGUAAUGGAUAGGAUUCCAGCAGAAUCACUGUGUACAGUUGUGCAGUUUGUGUACUACAGAAAGACACUUGAUAAAGGGGACAAGUGAAGAUGAAAUCCAGCUUGUGCUCUGCUCACCAGGAUGAGUGCCUUUCUGACACUGUUCUCUGAACACCUGGAAGAAAAUGUGCUUUUUCUUUGCACAGAGGAACAUCUCCCAGCCCAAACCACAGGCAUGCUUCUGCCCAGAGAAGCAUCAUACUUUUAAAUCUUUUUCACAAAGAGUCUAUAGACUAGCUAAUGGCUUGAGUCUAAGAUCUACCCCAAUUCAGAAUCUUUUCCUCCAUCACCUCAGUUUAUCCCAUAUCUCUUGUUUUUCCCUUAUCUCAUACAUUCUUCUCUUGAUAAACAUUACCUUAUGCUCCCCUCCCUCCCAUUCAUCCAAUCCUCCCCUCCCCUUCUCUGGUAUACCUUCUAAGUCAGUGCUGUACAGUGGAACUUUCUGCGAUGAUGGAGCUGUUUUACAUCUGUGCUGUCCAAUACAUUAGCCACUAGCCGUGUAUGUCCUUUGCAUGCUUGAAAUGUGGCUACUGUGACAGAGGAACUGAAUUAUUAAUUCUAUUUUAAUUUUAAUUUUUUAUGUAGUGCGUGUGGCGAGUGGCUAUUGCAUUGGACAGUAUGAGUUGAAGUUUUAACCUAUGUCAAAUCCAUAGCAGUAGAACUCUUGAGCUCUCCCACCACCUUCAUGUGGGAUACUGUCUCAAGCCCUUGCGGCAUCCCCUGACUAAUUGGAAAAGAGCCAGAGAAUUCUUCCCACUGAAAUACACUGCUUCUGAGUCUAUUGCAUUUAUCACCAUAAAAUAUGCAUGUAUCUUUUCUUUUACUCAUAAAGUUAAAGGGUCUUGAAAAAUGUCUUUAAUUUAUGAAGCUCUUCAAUGUCUAUAUACUUUGAUGCCUUCCUUUGUUGAAGGUUUUCUGUUGAAAACAUUAUGCUCCUAGAAAAGAGAAGAGUUAUAUAACAAUACUUGGCAAUAAAUACAAGACCAUAGUUAAUGGGUUAACCCAUGCCAUCUUUUUAUGUUUGCAGUUACCACAUUUAAAGUAUGAAAAGGGGAGAAGAGAAGAAACAAUAACAUCCAAAGAAAUGAAGAGUUUAAGUAAAAGAGUCAGCAUGGGGUGAGGCAGAGGCUGUGGGUUGUUGGCCUCAAGACACUGGAGCUCUAAGCACAUCGCCACCAAUAAGCCAUGACAUCGCCAUGGCACUUACUCUUUCAGGACCUUGCCUUUUGCCUUCAUAGAAUGCAGGCCUUUGGCCAGACAUUCUAAUUUAAGGUGUUUUCAAGGUUUAAGUACUCCUGGGGACAAAAGUAGUCAAGGAAUAGCUAAGACGGUUGAAACAAACUUUCAUCACUCAGAAGAGUUCACAGAAUCCUAUCCCCAUCCCCAACUAGUAAUGCUUGUGAUGAACACACCAACUGUUGAAGACCAAAACAAGUAUUUUAAGAACAAACAAAAGCCAGUUUAGAGUGAGUCAUUGGCCCUGACUAUAGUGGCUAAAGUAACCACAAAAGUUUGUGAAUAGUCUAUAGGGCGUCCUCAAAACAUUUGUGCAAACCUUUUAUUUCCAGUGCUUUGAACAGAAAUAAACACAACCCUUAAGCUAGAUUCUACAUUCCAUGAAACAAAUGAAAAGCUAAAGUGUAAGCAUGGAUUCCCUGGCUUAAUAUCUCUUUCCAGCAUGCCCAUCCCAUGUGAGCAGUCAGUAAACCGCCCAGUCUGUUAUAUAAGCAGAAGGAAAUCUCUGCAUAUAAAAAAGGAUGGGUUGUGCUAAAGUAAAAUCUGGUGCUCUGGAACUAUUAAUGUGCCCAUAAUUACCACUUAGUCUUCCAAACUAAAUGAUGUGCUAAUGGCAACUAAAAUGUGACAUGCCCCGAGUGAAAUAAUUGAUUCAUAACUUGAAAGGUUCUGAGUAGAUUGUCUUCAACCGAGUGCCUAAAUAAUUUUCUUUUCUCUCCCUAACCUUGCUUCUGCUAUCACACCUGUAACACAGGAAUAGAGUUGUUGUAAAGACUAAAUGAAUUAGGGCAGUUCCCUGGGUAGAUACUGUCAUAGCACUGAAAAUCCUUCCGUCAGCGUCGAGGGCAACAUAGCAAUGAGGCAUUUGUUUAUCUCAUCGUUUGACUACUGCUUCUCUUGUUAGACUGUAAAUUCCUUGAGGGCAGGGAUUACGUCAACUUUCAUCAGUCUUGUAUCACUGCCUCCUAUAUAUCAGAGCCUGGCAUGUAGCAGGUAUUCAAUAAAAACCUUUUGAAUGAAACAUUUAACACAUUUGCUGUCACUGGAGCCAGACACCCUGGGUUUGAUUGCUGUGUGCUCAGACAAGAGAUUUUUUUACCCAAUGCCUUUGUUUCCUCUUCUGUGUAGGAAGGACAAUAACGGUAUCUACCUGACUGAAUAGUUGUGAGAAUUAAGUGGGAUCACACGUACAAAGAGCUUAGACCACUGUCUGCUACAUACUGAGCACAUGAAAAUUGUUAAUGAAUUUUGACGACGAUGAUGGUGGUUAUGUAGUAAGCACUUCAGACACAAUAGCUGCUCUUAAGGUUAUUUAUUCUCAUUACUGAAGGAAUAUGUGUCCUUCGAAGAAUCAGUUACACAGAGGCCCUCAGGUACAUAUAACACAAGACCACGGUUGUAUCUUUAUAUGCUAAGCCAGGCAGAGACUACAAGCAAAAGCAGGUGUCAAAGAAGGCACUGAAAUGAUGUUCACAGUGGGACUUGGGUCUCCACGACCAAGGAAAAAUUACCAACUGCUUUCCCACCUCCCUAAUUUCAUCUCCCUCUUAACUCCUGGUACCCUCCACUCAUCCCUGUGUGGUCCUAUGGUUCAUAUGUCAGUGUUCCCUGAAAGACUUCAGCUUGCAAAUCGGCCACAGCAUCUGUCUCUACCCAUUAUGGUCAAAAGAUGGUUUUAAAAGGCAAAAGUUUUUACAAUAUGAAGAGAAAUCAGAGUAUAAAUGGGACUGUGGCUGAAAGGGGUAGUCUGGGGAUGUAAAUGUCAACUGAAAUAAAGCUGGAGAACAAUCUAGUGACUGAAUAACAUAGUGAACCUGUAGGCGGAUGAGGAUUGUGGUUAUUAAUACAAACACGAGAAUGUUCUUCUAUGAACUAGAACAAAUGUACGUCACUAUUGCAAGGUGGCAAGAAUACAGUGACGCAUGGGGAAAAUACAGUUAAUGUAACUUAUGGCCUAUAGUUAACAACAAUAUUGCAAUAUUCUUGCAUCUAAGUCAAAGAAGGUAUUGUGUCAAUGCUAAGGGUCAAUAAUAGGGGGUAAUGAAAUUUUUUCUUUUGGACUAAGGAAAAACAUUCAAAGGUUUACUGGGGCAAUGACUGCACAACUCUGUGAUGAAAGUGAGAGCCACUGAGGGUACACUUUGGGCAGAAUGUACCAAGUAUGGGACCAUAGAACACAGUGAACCACGUGGUGGAAGAUGGACUGUGGUUAAUGGUAUAAAUAUGAGAGUGUUCUCUCAUGAACUAUAACAAAUGUACAAUACUAAUACAUACUACUAAUAAUAGGGCGUGUAUGGAAAAAAUAUGCCAAAUGUAUCCUAUGAAUAAUAGUGGUAAUAGUCUGAUCGUGUUCUUUCAUAAUCUAUAACAAACGUUCCAUAACAAUGUAUUGUGUUGGUGGAGGAGUGACAUAUGGAAAUUCACAUUAUGCAUGUAAGCUCACAACUUCUCUAACAAAAAAAAAAAAUUUAAAAUAAAGAUCGUUUUAAGAGAAAAGACUGGAGGUU